This 254-nucleotide ribosomal RNA is filed under the name uncultured bacterium. Its description in RNAcentral is "partial 16S ribosomal RNA". It matches the Rfam family "Bacterial small subunit ribosomal RNA", at positions 524 to 776 of the family's 1533-position model. The record is from RNAcentral.
UACGUAGGGUGCAAGCGUUUGUCCGGAAUUAUUGGGCGUAAAGAGCUCGUAGGCGGUUUGUCGCGUCGGCUGUGAAAACUCGGGGCUCAACUCCGAGCUUGCAGUCGAUACGGGCAGGCUAGAGUUCGGCAGGGGAGACUGGAAUUCCUGGUGUAGCGGUGAAAUGCGCAGAUAUCAGGAGGAACACCGGUGGCGAAGGCGGGUCUCUGGGCCGAUACUGACGCUGAGACGCGAAAGCGUGGGGAGCAAACAGG